Coturnix japonica (Japanese quail) is the source of this 3853-nucleotide non-coding RNA. The record is from RefSeq and is a predicted model, not a curated record. NCBI's taxonomy places the organism in Eukaryota, Metazoa, Chordata, Aves, Galliformes, Phasianidae.
GCAGCCCUGGGGCGGGGCGGGAAUGGCGGCGCCGCCUCCUCGUGCCUGCAGCCCCGGUACGGCUGAGGGGAGGAGCCACUGACAGCUAGUUCUUCUAUAGCAGCGCUUAUUGAACCUGCAGUUGGUAUAUACUGCUACUGGCCUGCACACACAUUCAUAUAUGAACCCUGUGGAUAAAGGAAGCUGAUGUAAAGGUUGCACUUCUCAGUUUCAUUGCUAAGAGACUGAGACUCACUGACUUUAUCCCCUAUAGGAGCAGGAUACAUUGCCAGCCAGAACAGUAGCAGCUCCCCAAGGAAUGCUGGAGAAGAAUCUUCAGGUGCAACAUCGCUGUUCCUUUGGCAAAACACAUACAGAAAGAUAACAUUGCCAGCCGUGUCUUGUGUCUGAGUGUGAAUACAGGGCUAUCUGUCUUGAAGAGUGAUGUGGUCAAGCCCUUGCCAAUGCUUUCCUUGCUACAGUGACGCUCAGAAGCUUUUCCACAACAACGAGAAGUCUGGUAAAUCUGGCAGCCUGGCACUUUCUUUUAAUGUGUAAUGAAUGGAGUCGGGGCCUUUUGUGGUAGGUACACGGAUAUCAUGUUGUCAUUUAGAAAUACUUCCUUCAAACAAGUUGUCUUGCUAAGAAUCCAUGUUUUCUUUUGUUCUGAGGUGAAGGAACUACAUAUAGUGUUUACAGCUCAUCAUGCAGCUAUAACUUUCCAGACAGAUGGAAAAACAUAGAAGGAACAGGAAGAGGAAAAAGCUGUUUUGAUGGUUGGCAUCUCAGUCGGAGUUCUUGUACUGUGCUGGAUCUCCUUCAUCACAGAAUUAAUAAGCUCCCUCUGUUCCUGCAGCAUCCCACACAUCUGGAAAAGCAUCUUUAUUUGGCUUGGCUACUCCAACUCUUCCUUUAAUCCUUUCAUUUAUAUAGCAUUUAAGAAAUAUUACAACCAUGCUUUCAAGAACCCUUUCCUGAAGUAGAGAUAAAAGGGGACAGAGAAGGAAAUGAUUCCUUUAUUGCACGUUACAGAGACUUCUGGAGGGAAAUGUGCAGUGAUACAUGCAGACUUCAAUCACAAGGUCUUGUUGAGGGGAUUUAGCAACAAAGACUGAAGAAGUCUGCAUAUAAACCUACGGUCAGUUUACAUUUCCCCCUUGGAAAUACAUGUAUAUUACUCCAGAGAUUGACAAAGAAAGAAGCAGUGAAUAUCUCCCUUCAUAAAACUGUUGUGGGUUAAAGUCUGCAAGCAAAGCACUGUAGCCAUAUAAUAGCAUGAAUAUCAAGUCUACCAUUGAGUCAUCAAGUCAAGUAGAGGUGCCAUCCUGCAGCUUGCUCAUCAUCAGCAAGGGCACCAAGGGGAACUGUGGAUUGAGCAACAGUGAAACAUUUGUGAUGUGCAAAGGAUGUUGGCUUUAUUGUGGGGACUUUUUUGGAAAGGAGAGAACAGAGAGAAUAAACAUUCUGCAUUCAGUUCACUGCUGAUUUUCUCUGAAAUAAAGAGGGGUGAUUAAGCAGCCCCAAAACACACCCCAGUUUGGCUGAGGGGCUGUGUCCUCCUGCAAGCAGCAGCUCAGGGAGAAGGGUUAGUGCAGUAAAAGUCAGUUAUGUCCCUGGGGUUAAGUGAGAUUUUAAAGCCAAGUGUAAAAGCUGUUCUGAGCUACAAAGGUUACAUAUGCACCUGCUUGCAAAAGCGGAGAACUGAGCCAGGAGUUUUUCACCUGUGUUGUGCUUUCUCACCCUGCAGGUCUCCCUAUUUUCCAGAACUCCAGGUAAGUUCAAGACAGACAACUGAUGGCUCCAGUAGGGACUGUACACAUUAUUAUUUCACACUGCCCUAAAACUAAGCACGUAUCUGUGGUUACAAGCACAAAAUGUGCAUUUCUGUACUAUCAGCAACACAUGGCUGCUUCAUCAGCUGCAGGUGAAAGACUGCAUUGCCCUAUGUGGGGUCCUAACAUCAUGAAUAUACUCAUCAUCUAAACUGCGUAAAUUCCAUUACAUGUCAUUUGAAGUUGACUUCUUCCUUUGAGUUAAGUAUUGCUUCCAUCUGAUCUAAGUAAGUCCAAAAAUAUAUAUACUUAUCUUGUUUAUAUUUAUGUACCAAGCCCAACGUUUGGCAUAAUGGGAGCGUAUCUCUAGAAAGUCCUCAGUCUUGAUUUAAAAGGUUGCAACAGUGGAUAAUUUUCUACCUUCCUUUGUCCUUUAUUUCCAUGAUCGGUUACUCUCAUUAUCAAAACCUGCAACUUGAUUUUAACUGAAAGAAAAGAGUAAAAUGAAGCAUGCAGGCAUUCCUCCUUCUGGCAGUUCAAGCAUUAAAGUUCAAAUCUUACAUUAGUUCUGUGCUGCUAUCCUUGGCUUCAAGACAGAAUGAAGAGCAUACAGAAUAUAGAAACCCUGUGUCUAUUAAGAUGAACAGUAAAGUGUCCUGAAUAAGAAAUAAUAACAAAUGAGUUUUUGAGAAGGUAUUCUAAAGAAGAAUCAUUUAGUAGUGCUUAGAUGUAUGGUCAUUUAUUUCCCCAACUACAAGUUGCCAGUUUGGAAUAAACCAGUUAUUUCUGCCUAAACACAGUGGCCUCGUUUUAUUUCUUGAUGCUGACUCUAUUCCACAUAGGACUUGGUGGAGAUGGCUCAGCAGAAAGGCACUGCUCCCUCUUGGAGCAAGGUUCCAAGAGCCCUGCAGUGCUCUAUGAAUUAAGGCCUAGGGAGCUUUGUGCUCUUGGAAUCCAUGGAUUGUGUAGAAAUCCAAAGACUUUGAAAUAAGAGACACAAACAUACAAUGUUAAUAGCUUUCUAUGCUCCAGCUCCUACAAUAGAAGCCUCAGUCUCUUUCUAAAGGUCUGUUUUACCUGAGAAUUCCCAAGCCCUUUCUGCUUGAAGAGUGAUGCAGGCAGAAAUUAAGGACUUUACUCUGAAAAUACAGGAUGAUAGAUUUCCCCGGCCCCAGUAACUUCUAAGCUAGUUGGCACACCAGACAUCAAGAAACCAGGUAUGAGCAGCCUAUGGCAACACGCUGAACACCCGGGGGCACCAAACCUGCCCAAAGAGUUGGAUAGGAUGCAGUUCCUGCCUGGAAAAUCAGGGAGAUCAGCCCACCACCCAGAUCUGGUGGCUGCUGGCAGAGACUGCCUACACUGCAACCCUGUCAGUACACGCACUGUACAAAUAAACAGGACAAUGUUCAGAAACUUCAGAUAAAAGACUAUGUUAUGCAUAUGUCAUCCACCACCCAAACAAGAUUUGUGUAUUGCUUUAUAUGAGAGUCCUACUUGCAUGCCUAAUUUAGGCAAAGCUGGUUCUAAGGAGUCACUAAACUGUACAUCAACUGUUUAAUUUAAUUAACCAACUGUACAGUGCAUGUAAUGCAUGCACUUUUCCGUUUAAUGCUACAGAGUCUGUGUAAGGUCACAUACAACCUUCCACUGUUCUCAAAAGGAGUGGAACGAGGUGGUGCAGUGUGAUAAACUUGUACCAUCUCCGCUGACAAUUCCAUACCAUGAACCAAUGUCUAUGCAAAACAAAUCUUACCCUUCUGUGGAUGGGCUCUGCAUAUAGCAUGUUUGAUAGUUUGUUCCAGAUACCUAAACAUCAAGCUUAACAAAAGCGGCAAGAGAUAACACAUUACCAAUUGCUAUGUGACACACAAAAGCAUUUCUACUAGUGAAUAUCAAGACACUACAUUUACAGAACUCAUCUUUUAAUGCACUUGUAAUUCAAAAUCGUAUUAAGGCUUCUAUAUCAACCUUAAGUGUGGAACCUUGAAGUGCCAUCCUUAAAACACAAUAGCAAAAGUUCACUGAAUUCUAAACAUCUUUUUAUUUUGUAUUUGCUGCCAUAGAAAGUAAUCUAUCAGCAGUCAUCAAUGUUACUGGGG